AAAGUCGUAACAAGGUUUCCGUAGGUGAACCUGCGGAAGGAUCAUUAUUGAAAUAAUCCUGAUAAGUUGUUGCUGGUUCCCAUAAAGAACAUUGUGCACACUUGUCAUCUUUAUCUCUCCACCUGUGCACUUUCUGUAGACUUGGAUAACUCUCUUAAUGCUAGUACUUAAGGUCUGAGAAUUGACUUUUGUCUAUUCUUACAUGUCCAGGUCUAUGUUUAUUCAUAUACCCCCAAUGUAUGUUAUAGAAUGUAAUUGUUGGACCUUUGUGUCCAUAACAUUAUACAACUUUCAGCAACGGAUCUCUUGGCUCUCGCAUCGAUGAAGAACGCAGCGAAAUGCGAUAAGUAAUGUGAAUUGCAGAAUUCAGUGAAUCAUCGAAUCUUUGAACGCACCUUGCGCUCCUUGGUAUUCCGAGGAGCAUGCCUGUUUGAGUGUCAUUAAUAUAUAUAUCAACCUCGUCAAGCUUUUGCUUGUUGAGUGCUGGAUGUGGGGGGAAGCUCUUUUUUGCUGGUCUUUUAAAAAGGUCAGCUCCCCUAAAAUUUAUUAGCAGAACAAAUAUGCUGACCGUUCAUUGGUGUGAUAAUUAUCUACGCUAUUAAACGUGAAGCAGUUCGGCUUCUAAUAGUCCAUUGACUUGGACAAUUUCAUUAUUAAUGUGACCUCAAAUCACGUAGGACUACCCGCUGAACUUAAGCAUAUCAAUAAGCGGAGGAAGGACUACCCGCUGAACUUAAGCAUAUCAAUAAGCAGAGGGAAGGGACUACCCGCUUGAACUUA
RNAcentral lists this ribosomal RNA (780 nucleotides) under Cortinarius iodes. RNAcentral's name for it is "eukaryotic LSU rRNA". The stretch from base 287 to 440 matches the Rfam family "5.8S ribosomal RNA". Lineage: Eukaryota; Fungi; Basidiomycota; Agaricomycetes; Agaricales; Cortinariaceae. The record is from RNAcentral.